GACGAACGCUGGCGGCGUGCUUAACACAUGCAAGUCGAGCGGUAAGGCCCUUUCGGGGGUACACGAGCGGCGAACGGGUGAGUAACACGUGGGUGACCUGCCCUCAGCUCUGGGAUAAGCCUGGGAAACUGGGUCUAAUACCGGAUAUGACUCCAUGACGCAUGUUGUGGGGUGGAAAGCCUUGUGCGGCUAGGGAUGGGCCCGCGGCCUAUCAGCUUGUUGGUGGGGUGAUGGCCACCAAGGCGACGACGGGUAGCCGGCCUGAGAGGGCGACCGGCCACACUGGGACUGAGACACGGCCCAGACUCCUACGGGAGGCAGCAGUGGGGAAUCUUGCGCAAUGGGCGAAAGCCUGACGCAGCGACGCCGCGUGAGGGAUGACGGCCUCGG
RNAcentral lists this ribosomal RNA (390 nucleotides) under uncultured bacterium. Its description in RNAcentral is "bacterial SSU rRNA". It matches the Rfam family "Bacterial small subunit ribosomal RNA", at positions 28 to 420 of the family's 1533-position model. The record is from RNAcentral.